RNAcentral lists this ribosomal RNA (253 nucleotides) under uncultured bacterium. RNAcentral's name for it is "partial 16S ribosomal RNA". It matches the Rfam family "Bacterial small subunit ribosomal RNA", at positions 524 to 776 of the family's 1533-position model. The record is from RNAcentral.
UACAGAGGUCUCAAGCGUUGUUCGGAUUCAUUGGGCGUAAAGGGUGCGUAGGCGGCGCGGUAAGUCGGGUGUGAAAUCUCGGAGCUUAACUCCGAAACUGCAUUCGAUACUGCCGUGCUUGAGGACUGGAGAGGAGACUGGAAUUUACGGUGUAGCGGUGAAAUGCGUAGAUAUCGUAAGGUAGACCAGUGGCGAAGGCGGGUCUCUGGACAGUUCCUGACGCUGAGGCACGAAGGCCAGGGGAGCAAACGGG